CCUGCGCACAGCGUUACGUGGAACGCUCGCGGUUCCCGGAGGUGGGUGCCCGGUGGGCUGGGACGUGGACUGUGGGGAAAUCAGCCUUGAGAGGUGCGAGGCCUCUAGAGAGGGCAGUGUUCCAAAACAUCAAGUAACAACUCAAGAAGACGAUGACAGACAUUUAGGAAAACAUACUCAAAUCAGUGGUUUAAACUAAUAUAAUCCACAUACCAAAAGAGUCUGAAAGAACCACAUCCUUUUCAAGUAGAGAUACUGGGGAAGGUUUGUUGAAUGCUAAACGGUGGAAGCUGACUGAAGCAUCACAAACAGAUCCAGGGAAUCCGAUGCUCCACUGGUCUUCCUGAAUGCAAUGUGAAGGGUCUAGCAAUGAGCUGUGUGGGAUGACCGUGUACCCUUUGUGUCCUGGAAAAGAAACAGAAGGAGCAUGAUUUCUAAUUCAUGUUAGAAAACUGGUAUGUGGUCUACAGGUACUGUGAUCUAUACUAUUAUAAACAAAAUCUAAAAGUCUUGGUAAAAUUAUUCUGUUUGCAUGAGGCAAGGAGACCUCAUACAGAGGUUCUGCAGUGGGCCUUACUGUAAAUGUAUUUAAAACACAGGAUCUGAAGCAUAUGUGAAAGUCACAAUGAAACAUGAGGAGUGCAACAAAUAACUUUGUUAAGACACACAAAAAGAUUCAAAUUCAGGCAGAAUGACUAUAGAUUCUGUACUCUUAACUAAUAAACUGCCAACUAACAUUAAAUAUUAAGCAGAAUUAAGUAAAUCAAUAAGCAUUACACAAAGAUUGAUAUGUCAGAAGCAUCCAAAUGUUCUCCCUCUUAAAAGCCACAACAAUUAGGAGACAGAUAUUAUCCACAAUAGUUCUCAGUCCAUCUAAAUACUGAGAUGAAUGUUCUUUUGUCUUUCAAAAAUAAUUAUAAACAUCUCUAAGUUUACCUGUCAAAUGGCAUACUCCUAAAAAGUCUUAUUCAGUAACACACACGUACACACACACACACACACACACACACAGAGUUUUAUUUAGACAAGUCUUUAUCUCUAAAAAUUUACAGCCACUAAAUUCUGGAAACCAUGAAUAUGUGCAGAAAUUGUGACAUACCCUGGUCUUCAAAUGCUAAAAAAAAAUUAACUUACAAUAUAUAUUGAAUUUUCUAAAUAUAUUAUUUGAACAAAACAAAAUUGAGAAUUUAAAUUGAGAAAAAAAAGAGUUAAUAGCAGGCUUGUCACUCCUAUUCUUUAAAAGUAUUGUAGCAAGGGUAUAUCCAUUCUAUCUACAUUGUUUACACAAAUAAACCUGGGAGGUAUGUCUCUGGGGCAUGACUGGCUGUAGAAUUUGGGUGGUCAUGAAAAUAAUUUCAUAUCUGUACAAUUGAAUAUAAAAUGGAAGAGUUCUAAAACUGGAAUAUCUUCCUUUUGUGAUCAAUGUUCCCAUAUACACUGCUCAAAAUUUACCAUUAAUAUAAAAUCAAAGUGCAAAUGAGAUAGAAAAAAGACACUUUUGGAAGCUGGCUCUGACAGUUUGAUGCUGUUCCAGAAAAGAAUGUCUCAUCUGUGUCAGAUGUUAAACUCUAUCUAUUAAAACAUUAUUAAAGUUUGGUGCUGGGUAAGGUCUAUAAUGCUGAUAAAUAUGCUGGAACAAAUCACCUCUAUAUUAACACAAAUAUAUUUUCAAUGUAUUCGAAUCAUAAAUUGAAAAAUAGUGUUACCUGUAAGCGAACCGUCAACAUCAAUCAGUACUGCCUCAUGUUCCCAUCGAAAGCCAGCCUUAUUAGGUGUGUAAAAAUACUGAAUGUCAACAAAUUUUGCACUCCAACCUCCACAUCUGUCAUUACAAACACCAGUGAUGGAUGUCACUCCCAAAGCUACACAAUUGGGACGGUCAAAGUUCAUAAAAUGUAAUGACGAUACAGUCAAGCCUUCACUAAAUGGGAGCACUAGGCCCUUUGAUGUGCAAAAUGCAGACCCCAUUCCCAGUUCAUCAAGAUGACCAACAAUUUUGGCACUUUUAAUCACUGCUCCAUUAGUUUCACCCCACCCUCCAAUAUAGGGAGCCAGGAUCCUCUUGGUCUCAAUUCCAGCCUCAUAAUUGUUUACCAUCACAAAGUUAUGAAACUGCAGGGCACCUCCGUUAACCCAUUCAGCUCCUUUUUGACAAUUCCAUGUAGUAAGUGAAUUAAAAAUUGCAGGCACUGGCACUGAAGAAGUACAAGAUCCCGUCUGCAUGGGGAAAUAUUCCUCAAAGAUCCACAGUCCAAACCAACCUUGAGAAUGAACAGUAUUAUUAAAGAAUUCUCCAAGAGGAACUCUUUUUUGGCAAAUAUUCUGGUCAUAAGAUGGUCCAUCAGGGUGGUCAUUCAUUCGGUACCAAAAGCCAAAAUGAGUACCACCAGCAGCUGCAUUGUGUCGUAUGGUGUUGUUUGGGUUGGUUACCCAAAAUGCAGCCGGGGUCACAUCAUCAUUCAGAAGACUAGUACUUUGCUGAACAAAUACUGCCAAGUUAUAUUGCAGAAUGUUGCCAUGUUCAAUACCAUCUUCUAUAAAAAAUGCUCCUCCCUUGAUAUCAUAUAUAAUAUUCCUCUCAACCAGAAGAUGAUGUGUGUUAUGGAUGGUAACAGCUCUAUUAUAGGUUUGGUGAAUUGCACAACCUCUUACAUAAGAUUUAAACUGUAAAUCUCCAAGUAGGUGCCAAUGUAUUGGAUAUCGCCCCAACCGGAAAGCCUGGCCAGCAUGGAAUACCUGUCAAGCCCAGAAAUCACAGUUAUUAAUCUACAUAGACUCACAGUUUGCCCUGCUCUUUUUUCCUUGGUUCAAAAUUACAAAUUAAUUACUAAUACAUUAAUAUCUUCCAUAUUAUUUAUUGUUUGAAAAUGUUAUUUUAUUCUCAAUCCAGCUUAUUUUAGACAAUGUAUAAAAGACCAUGCUUGUGAGAAAAUGAAUGAAUAAACGAACAAAAGCCA
Ictidomys tridecemlineatus (thirteen-lined ground squirrel) is the source of this 2957-nucleotide non-coding RNA. The record is from RefSeq and is a predicted model, not a curated record. NCBI's taxonomy places the organism in Eukaryota, Metazoa, Chordata, Mammalia, Rodentia, Sciuridae.